AGAGAGGUGGCCGAGUGGCCGAAGGCGCUACCUUGGAAAGGUAGUAUACCGGUAACGGUAUCGAGGGUUCGAAUCCCUUCCUCUCUA
Molecule: transfer RNA, 87 nt
Filed under: Polaribacter irgensii 23-P
Lineage: Bacteria; Pseudomonadati; Bacteroidota; Flavobacteriia; Flavobacteriales; Flavobacteriaceae
Rfam family: tRNA
About the family: Transfer RNA (tRNA) molecules are approximately 80 nucleotides in length.
Source: Rfam by way of RNAcentral